RNAcentral lists this ribosomal RNA (1440 nucleotides) under uncultured organism. RNAcentral's name for it is "SSU rRNA". It matches the Rfam family "Bacterial small subunit ribosomal RNA". The record is from RNAcentral.
AGCUACAGGCUUAACACAUGCAAGUCGAGGGGCAGCAUGGUCUUAGCUUGCUAAGGCCGAUGGCGACCGGCGCACGGGUGAGUAACACGUAUCCAACCUGCCGUCUACUCUUGGACAGCCUUCUGAAAGGAAGAUUAAUACAAGAUGGCAUCAUGAGUCCGCAUGUUCACAUGAUUAAAGGUAUUCCGGUAGACGAUGGGGAUGCGUUCCAUUAGAUAGUAGGCGGGGUAACGGCCCACCUAGUCUUCGAUGGAUAGGGGUUCUGAGAGGAAGGUCCCCCACAUUGGAACUGAGACACGGUCCAAACUCCUACGGGAGGCAGCAGUGAGGAAUAUUGGUCAAUGGGCGAGAGCCUGAACCAGCCAAGUAGCGUGAAGGAUGACUGCCCUAUGGGUUGUAAACUUCUUUUAUAAAGGAAUAAAGUCGGGUAUGGAUACCCGUUUGCAUGUACUUUAUGAAUAAGGAUCGGCUAACUCCGUGCCAGCAGCCGCGGUAAUACGGAGGAUCCGAGCGUUAUCCGGAUUUAUUGGGUUUAAAGGGAGCGUAGAUGGAUGUUUAAGUCAGUUGUGAAAGUUUGCGGCUCAACCGUAAAAUUGCAGUUGAUACUGGAUAUCUUGAGUGCAGUUGAGGCAGGCGGAAUUCGUGGUGUAGCGGUGAAAUGCUUAGAUAUCACGAAGAACUCCGAUUGCGAAGGCAGCCUGCUAAGCUGCAACUGACAUUGAGGCUCGAAAGUGUGGGUAUCAAACAGGAUUAGAUACCCUGGUAGUCCACACGGUAAACGAUGAAUACUCGCUGUUUGCGAUAUACUGCAAGCGGCCAAGCGAAAGCGUUAAGUAUUCCACCUGGGGAGUACGCCGGCAGCGGUGAAACUCAAAGGAAUUGACGGGGGCCCGCACAAGCGGAAGAACAUGUGGUUUAAUUCGAUGAUACGCGAGGAACCUUACCCGGGCUUAAAUUGCAGAUGAAUUACGGUGAAAGCCGUAAGCCGCAAGGCAUCUGUGAAGGUGCUGCAUGGUUGUCGUCAGCUCGUGCCGUGAGGUGUCGGCUUAAGUGCCAUAACGAGCGCAACCCUUGUUGUCAGUUACUAACAGGUUCCGCUGAGGACUCUGACAAGACUGCCAUCGUAAGAUGUGAGGAAGGUGGGGAUGACGUCAAAUCAGCACGGCCCUUACGUCCGGGGCUACACACGUGUUACAAUGGGGGGUACAGAGGGCCGCUACCACGCGAGUGGAUGCCAAUCCCCAAAACCUCUCUCAGUUCGGACUGGAGUCUGCAACCCGACUCCACGAAGCUGGAUUCGCUAGUAAUCGCGCAUCAGCCACGGCGCGGUGAAUACGUUCCCGGGCCUUGUACACACCGCCCGUCAAGCCAUGGGAGCCGGGGGUACCUGAAGUGCGUAACCGCGAGGAGCGCCCUAGGGUAAAACUGGUGACUGGGGCU